UGCGCACAUGACUGUAAGUUGCUUUGGAUAAAAGAGUCUGCUAAAUGGCAUAUA
This is a non-coding RNA of Salmo salar (Atlantic salmon), 54 nucleotides long. The record is from Rfam. Lineage: Eukaryota; Metazoa; Chordata; Actinopteri; Salmoniformes; Salmonidae.